CGUACACUCCUACGGGAGGCAGCAGUGGGGAAUAUUGGACAAUGGGCGCAAGCCUGAUCCAGCCAUGCCGCGUGAGUGAUGAAGGCCCUAGGGUUGUAAAGCUCUUUCACCGGUGAAGAUAAUGACGGUAACCGGAGAAGAAGCCCCGGCUAACUUCGUGCCAGCAGCCGCGGUAAUACGAAGGGGGCUAGCGUUGUUCGGAUUUACUGGGCGUAAAGCGCACGUAGGCGGACUAUUAAGUCAGGGGUGAAAUCCCGGGGCUCAACCCCGGAACUGCCUUUGAUACUGGUAGUCUUGAGUUCGAGAGAGGUGGGUGGAAUUCCGAGUGUAGAGGUGAAAUUCGUAGAUAUUCGGAGGAACACCAGUGGCGAAGGCGGCUCACUGGCUCGAUACUGAGGCUGAGGUGCGAAAGCGUGGGGAGCAAACAGGAUUAGAUACCCCUGUAGUCCCAUGA
This 454-nucleotide ribosomal RNA is filed under the name uncultured organism. RNAcentral describes it as "partial 16S ribosomal RNA". It matches the Rfam family "Bacterial small subunit ribosomal RNA", at positions 330 to 800 of the family's 1533-position model. The record is from RNAcentral.